UACGUAGGGGGCGAGCGUUGUCCGGAUUCAUUGGGCGUAAAGCGCGCGUAGGCGGCUCCGCAAGUCGGCCGUGAAAUCUCCGGGCUCAACUCGGAGGGGUCGGGCGAGACUGCGGGGCUCGAGGUGGGCAGAGGGCAGUGGAAUUCCGGGUGUAGUGGUGGAAUGCGUAGAGAUCCGGAGGAACACCAGUGGCGAAGGCGGCUGCCUGGGCCUGGCCUGACGCUGAGACGCGAAAGCGUGGGGAGCGAACAGG
Molecule: ribosomal RNA, 253 nt
Filed under: uncultured bacterium
Lineage: Bacteria
Description: partial 16S ribosomal RNA
Rfam family: Bacterial small subunit ribosomal RNA
Source: RNAcentral